AACGAACGCUGGCGGCAUGGCUAAUGCAUGCAAGUCGAACGAAAGCCCUUCGGGGCGAAAGUGGCGAAAGGGCGAGUAAUACGAUCGAACGUACCCCAAGGUGGAGGAUAGUGUCGGGAAACUGACGGUAAUACUCCAUGUGCUCUUCGGAGGAAAGCUUUGGCGCCUCGGGAGCGGCGAUCGUCCUAUCAGGUAGUUGGUGAGGUAAUGGCUCACCAAGCCGAAGACGGGUAGCGGGUGUGAGAGCAUGACCCGCCGCAUCGGGACUGAGACACUGCCCGGACUCCUACGGGAGGCUGCAGCGACGAAUCUUCCGCAAUGGGCGCAAGCCUGACGGAGCAAUGCCGCGUGUGGGACGAAGCGUCUUCGACGUGUAAACCACUGUCAGAAUCUAGGAACACUGACCAGAUUCAAAGGAAGGGCCGGCUAACCUCGUG
This 437-nucleotide ribosomal RNA is filed under the name uncultured bacterium. Its description in RNAcentral is "bacterial SSU rRNA". It matches the Rfam family "Bacterial small subunit ribosomal RNA", at positions 29 to 507 of the family's 1533-position model. The record is from RNAcentral.